RNAcentral lists this small RNA (360 nucleotides) under Pelobates cultripes (western spadefoot toad). The record is from RNAcentral. Lineage: Eukaryota; Metazoa; Chordata; Amphibia; Anura; Pelobatidae.
GUGAGGGAGGGGGUGACUAGUGACAGAGGGAGGGGGUAACACAGUGACAGAGUAAGGGGGUGACUAGUGACAGAGUGAGGGAGUGGGUGACACAGUGACAGAGUUAGGGAGGGAGUAACUAGUGACAGAGAGAGGGAUGGGGUGACUAGUGACAGUCACCCCCCCUCACUCUGUCACCAGUCAUCCCCUCACUCUGUCACUAGUCACCCCUUCCCUCCCUCACUCUGCCACUAGUCACCCAUUCCCUCACUCUGUCACUAGUCACCCAUUCCCUCACUCUGUCACUAGUCUCCCAUUCCCUCCCUCUGUCACUAGUCUCCCCCUCUCCUUCCCUCUGUCACUAGUCACCCACUCCCUCAC